This 429-nucleotide ribosomal RNA is filed under the name Bacteroidota bacterium. RNAcentral describes it as "Bacteroidetes bacterium partial 16S ribosomal RNA". It matches the Rfam family "Bacterial small subunit ribosomal RNA", at positions 355 to 776 of the family's 1533-position model. Lineage: Bacteria; Pseudomonadati; Bacteroidota. The record is from RNAcentral.
UAGGGAAUCUUCCGCAAUGGACGCAAGUCUGACGGAGCAACGCCGCGUGAGUGAAGAAGGAUUUCGGUUCGUAAAACUCUGUUGUUAGAGAAGAACAGCGCAUAGAGUAACUGUUAUGCGUGUGACGGUAUUUAACCAGAAAGCCACGGCUAACUACGUGCCAGCAGCCGCGGUAAUACGUAGGUGGCAAGCGUUGUCCGGAUUUAUUGGGCGUAAAGCGAGCGCAGGCGGUCAAUUAAGUCUGAUGUGAAAGCCCCCGGCUCAACCGGGGAGGGUCAUUGGAAACUGGUUGACUUGAGUGCAGAAGAGGAGAGUGGAAUUCCAUGUGUAGCGGUGAAAUGCGUAGAUAUAUGGAGGAACACCAGUGGCGAAGGCGACUCUCUGGUCUGUAACUGACGCUGAGGCUCGAAAGCGUGGGUAGCAAACAGG